CCACCGCUCAAUGAAGUCUUCCGCAUUCAUCACCUUUCAAACGGAAAUAAAACUUUAACCAAAAGAGCAUGGGCAGAUAUUUCCCGGAUCUGAACAGGAAUAGCUGGUGUCUGGACUCUAUGAAGAAUCUUCAUGUGCAGUGAUAGAAGAAUAAACACAUUUGAACCAAGUUCACCAUGGAGAGAGUGAGUGGGUUGGGGAAAAGGUGUUGUAUGUUUGAGGAGCGAGGAGAAGGUGUCAAAUAAUCAUCCAGGCAGACUUUUGUAGUGCACAGUGACCGGUGACCAGCAGCAUGUGUUUCCAUAGGCAUCUUCUCUCAGUACCCCAGAAGGUGAAUUGCCAGUGAGUCCUGCCAGGAUGCCCCUCGGUGACUGCACCACCCAGUAAAAAGACAUCCCUUAACUAUGGCAAAACAACAACAACAACGACGACAAAAAACAAAACAAAACAAAACAAAACCCUGCAUCAAUUUGAUAAAUAAUCCUCCCCGUUGA
Molecule: long non-coding RNA, 494 nt
Organism: Homo sapiens (human)
Lineage: Eukaryota; Metazoa; Chordata; Mammalia; Primates; Hominidae
Product: long independently transcribed non-coding RNA 1291
Source: RefSeq, marked validated